CCUACGGGGGGCAGCAGUGGGGAAUCUUGCGCAAUGCUCGUAAGAGUGACGCAGCGACGCCGCGUGAAUGACGAAGGCCUUCGGGUCGUAAAGUUCUUUCGACAGGGAAGAAAAUGCCUAUAAGUAACUGUGUAUGUAUUGACGGUACCUGUAUAAGCAGCCCCGGCUAACUCCGUGCCAGCAGCCGCGGUAAUACGGGGGGGGCGAGCGUUGUUCGGAGUGACUGGGCGAAAAGAGCACGUAGGCGGUGUUGUAAGUCAUUAGUCAAAGACUAGAGCUCAACUUUAGUAAGGCUAGGGAUACUAAAAUACGAGGGUAUCAGAGAGGAUUGAAGAAUUCCGGGUGUAGCGGUGAAAUGGG
RNAcentral lists this ribosomal RNA (360 nucleotides) under uncultured bacterium. RNAcentral describes it as "partial 16S ribosomal RNA". It matches the Rfam family "Bacterial small subunit ribosomal RNA", at positions 338 to 690 of the family's 1533-position model. The record is from RNAcentral.